CCUACGGGAGGCAGCAGUGGGGAAUAUUGCACAAUGGGGGAAACCCUGAUGCAGCGACGCCGCGUGAGUGCAGAAGUAUUUCGGUAUGUAAAGCUCUAUCAGCAGGGAAGAAAAUGACGGUACCUGAUUACUAAGCCCCUGCUAACUCCGUGCCAGCAGCCGCGGUAAUACGUAGGGGGCAAGCGUUAUCCGGAUUUACUGGGUGUAAAGGGAGCGUAGACGGCAGCACAAGUCUGGAGUGAAAUGCCGGGGCUUAACCCCGGAACUGCUUUGGACACUGUGCAGCCAGAGUGAAGGAGAGGUAAGUGGAAGUCGUAGGGUAGCGGUGAAAUGCGUAGAUAUUAGGAGGAAAACCAGUGGCGAAGGCGGCUUACGGGACUGUAACUGACGUGGAGGCUCGAAAGCGUGGGGAGCAAACAGGAUUAGAUACCCGGGUAGUC
This 440-nucleotide ribosomal RNA is filed under the name uncultured bacterium. RNAcentral describes it as "partial 16S ribosomal RNA". It matches the Rfam family "Bacterial small subunit ribosomal RNA", at positions 338 to 795 of the family's 1533-position model. The record is from RNAcentral.